ACGCACGCUGGCGGCGUGCUUCACACAUGCAAGUCGCACGGAAAGACCCUGCUUUUGUGGGGUGCUCGAGUGGCGAACGGGUGAGUAACACGUGAGUAACCUGCCCUUGACUUUGGGAUAACUUCAGGAAACUGGGGCUAAUACCGGAUAGGAGCUCCUGCUGCAUGGUGGGGGUUGGAAAGUUUCGGCGGUUGGGGAUGGACUCGCGGCUUAUCAGCUUGUUGGUGGGGUAGUGGCUUACCAAGGCUUUGACGGGUAGCCGGCCUGAGAGGGUGACCGGCCACAUUGGGACUGAGAUACGGCCCAGACUCCUACGGGAGGCAGCAGUGGGGAAUAUUGCACAAUGGGCGGAAGCCUGAUGCAGCAACGCCGCGUGCGGGAUGACGGCCUUCGGGUUGUAAACCGCUUUCGCCUGUGACGAAGCGUGAGUGACGGUAAUGGGUAAAGAAGCACCGGCUAACUACGUG
Molecule: ribosomal RNA, 467 nt
Filed under: uncultured bacterium
Lineage: Bacteria
Description: partial 16S ribosomal RNA
Rfam family: Bacterial small subunit ribosomal RNA
Source: RNAcentral